RNAcentral lists this ribosomal RNA (253 nucleotides) under uncultured bacterium. RNAcentral describes it as "partial 16S ribosomal RNA". It matches the Rfam family "Bacterial small subunit ribosomal RNA", at positions 524 to 776 of the family's 1533-position model. The record is from RNAcentral.
UACGUAGGGGGCAAGCGUUGUCCGGAAUCAUUGGGCGUAAAGAGCGUGUAGGCGGCCCGAUAAGUCCGCCGUGAAAGUCCAGGGCUCAACCCUGGAAUGCCGGUGGAAACUGUCGGGCUGGAGUCCGGAAGAGGCGAGUGGAAUUCCUGGUGUAGCGGUGGAAUGCGCAGAUAUCAGGAGGAACACCAACGGCGAAGGCAGCUCGCUGGGACGGUACUGACGCUGAGGCGCGAAAGCGUGGGGAGCGAACGGG